UACGUAGGGGGCGAGCGUUGUCCGGAUUUAUUGGGCGUAAAGAGCGUGUAGGCGGCCAGGUAGGUCCGUUGUGAAAACUCGAGGCUCAACCUCGAGACGCCGAUGGAAACCAUCUGGCUAGAGUACGGAAGAGGCGAGUGGAAUUCCUGGUGUAGCGGUGAAAUGCGCAGAUAUCAGGAGGAACACCAAUUGCGAAGGCAGCUCGCUGGGACGUUACUGACGCUGAGACGCGAAAGCGUGGGGAGCAAACAGG
RNAcentral lists this ribosomal RNA (253 nucleotides) under uncultured bacterium. RNAcentral describes it as "partial 16S ribosomal RNA". It matches the Rfam family "Bacterial small subunit ribosomal RNA", at positions 524 to 776 of the family's 1533-position model. The record is from RNAcentral.